Molecule: ribosomal RNA, 466 nt
Filed under: uncultured Haemophilus sp.
Lineage: Bacteria; Pseudomonadati; Pseudomonadota; Gammaproteobacteria; Pasteurellales; Pasteurellaceae
Description: bacterial SSU rRNA
Rfam family: Bacterial small subunit ribosomal RNA
Source: RNAcentral
CCUACGGGGGGCAGCAGUGGGGAAUAUUGCGCAAUGGGGGCAACCCUGACGCAGCCAUGCCGCGUGAAUGAAGAAGGCCUUCGGGUUGUAAAGUCCUUUCGGUAGCGAGGAAGGCAUUUAGUUUAAUAGACUAAGUGAUUGACGCUAACUACAGAAGAAGCACCGGCUAACUCCGUGCCAGCAGCCGCGGUAAUACGGAGGGUGCGAGCGUUAAUCGGAAUAACUGGGCGUAACGGGCACGCAGGCGGUGACUUAAGUGAGGUGUGAAAGCCCCGGGCUUAACCUGGGAAUUGCAUUUCAUACUGGGUCGCUAGAGUACUUUAGGGAGGGGUAGAAAUCCACGGGUAGCGGUGAAAUGCGUAGAGAUGUGGAGGAAUACCGAAGGCGAAAGCAGCCCCUUGGGAAUGUACUGACGCUCAUGUGCGAAAGCGUGGGGAGCAAACAGGAAUAGAUACCCUUGGUAGUC